Molecule: ribosomal RNA, 96 nt
Filed under: Adineta vaga
Lineage: Eukaryota; Metazoa; Rotifera; Eurotatoria; Adinetida; Adinetidae
Source: RNAcentral
GCUUACGGCCAUACCACGUUGAAUACACCAGUUCUCGUCCGAUCACUGAAGUUAAGCAACGCCGCAUCAGGUCUCCAAGGUGAAAAGCCUCUAGUC